GGAGAGGUGACCGAGUGGUCGAAGGUGCACGAUUGGAAAUCGUGUGUACUGGAGACAGUACCGCGGGUUCGAAUCCCGCCCUCUCCG
RNAcentral lists this transfer RNA (87 nucleotides) under Sandaracinus amylolyticus. It matches the Rfam family "tRNA". From Rfam's summary of the family: Transfer RNA (tRNA) molecules are approximately 80 nucleotides in length. Their secondary structure includes four short double-helical elements and three loops (D, anti-codon, and T loops). The record is from Rfam by way of RNAcentral. RNAcentral also lists the same sequence under 1 other name. Lineage: Bacteria; Pseudomonadati; Myxococcota; Polyangiales; Sandaracinaceae.